UGGGGAAUAUUGCACAAUGGAGGGAACUCUGAUGCAGCGACGCCGCGUGAGUGAUGAAGGAAUUCGUUUCGUAAAACUCUGUUCUAUGGGAAGAAAAGGACUGUACCAUAGGAGAAAGCUCCGGCUAAAUACGUGCCAGCAGCCGCGGUAAUACGUAGGGAGCGAGCGUUGUCCGGAAUUAUUGGGCGUAAAGGGUGCGCAGGCGGCUUUACAAGUUGGAUGUGAAAUAUUGUGGCUCAACCACAAACGUGCAUCCAAAACUGCAAAGCUUGAGUUAAGGAGAGGUAAGUGGAAUUCCUGGUGUAGCGGUGGAAUGCGUAGAUAUCAGGAGGAAUACCGGUGGCGAAGGCGACUUACUGGACUUAAACUGGCGCUCAGGCACGAAAGCGUGGGGAGCAAACAGG
This 404-nucleotide ribosomal RNA is filed under the name Fusobacteriota bacterium. RNAcentral describes it as "Fusobacteria bacterium partial 16S ribosomal RNA". It matches the Rfam family "Bacterial small subunit ribosomal RNA", at positions 355 to 776 of the family's 1533-position model. Lineage: Bacteria; Fusobacteriati; Fusobacteriota. The record is from RNAcentral.